RNAcentral lists this long non-coding RNA (3115 nucleotides) under Vigna radiata. RNAcentral's name for it is "long non-coding RNA (VRAD_LNC009062)". Lineage: Eukaryota; Viridiplantae; Streptophyta; Magnoliopsida; Fabales; Fabaceae. The record is from RNAcentral.
GGUCCAACCUAUUCCUAAUUUUGAAUGAAUCUACAAUACAAUAAGUAAAAUGUUAAUCAAUUCCUCCCUAUUUUCUACAAAAAAUAAAUAAAUAAAUAAUAAUAAUAAUAAUAAUAAUAAUAAUAAUGAAAUGAAUCCUGUCAUGACAACAUUUAUUACUUGCUCAAAUACACUCUAGUGAAUGUUACUGAAAAUAAAAUUUACAAUACUGUGAUUCAUGACUUUGUAAGUCCUUCAUGAUCUUAACCAUAAUCUUGAUUUUAACUAGCUUGGCCAGACCACUCUAUGACACCCAAAAUGGCAACCAAGAAAAACCAGCAUCACCACUAUCAUUUUGUGCUGGCUAUAACUCCGCCACCGAUUUCUGCCAUGGCAUCACCACAACAGAUUUCAAUGACACUAAAGCAGUAUGAUUUCAUAUCAAUCAAGAAGAAGAGAUGUUAAAUUAAAUGUCAAAGGUAGAUAUAACACAGCAACUUAUCAUGAACAUUGUAUCCUCAUAUUGCAAACACAAGCACAAAGAAAAGCACAUGUUGAAAGUUGCCUCAAUAUUCUAUUAUCCAGAUAAGUGUUUAGCAAUGAUAGUUGGGCCAGCUGUAAUGUUUUGAAGACAUAAUUAGACCCCAAAUGUUAAGAAGAUAGAAUGAAAAACUGUCUUCAAAAAUAUUACAAUAAACCAUAGAAGUAUUUUAUUUAUUUUUUUCAGAUUUGCAUGACAGUAAAUUACAGGAGCAUAUUGUCCAAUUGGGUUUAUGAUGUAACUCAUGCAACCAAGCCCAUGUUCUUGUCUUUCCUUCUCUCUUUUACAUUUAUAUUUUUUCGCUUUUCUAUGCGACUUGGAUCCCAUUACGUAUGUAGACAUAUAAAAAAUUUACAUCCCACCAUUGCCCUGAAUGAUUGUUGAUUGAAUUUUAUCUAAACCUGCCAAACCAAAUAUCUUAUCUCAUGUUGACUCUUAAUUCACAGGUAAUCUUCACAUUAACCAGCACGAUGCAAAUAUUCCCUCUCAAGUUGUUCAUUUCACCCGUACCUUCAAAUACACUAAGUCCACUCAGCAACUUUGUUUAACAUAUUUACAGCAGAAAGUACAAAUCCUUUAGAUGGCUUAAUCAUCCCUCUUUCUCACUAAUAUUAGAAACCAGGAAUUAAAAAGAAAAACAAAAGAAACAUUUUACCAAAUUGGAUGAAAAAAACAACAAAUGUGAAAGAAAUUUCUCCACAAGGGUUUCCACAUCACAAAGGAUUUAUCCACUCAACUUACAAUAGCAACAAUCUAUCCUAUAUUUCUUCCUGCUGAUAUAUAACUAACUCGCUCAUUAAUAUUCUAACCAACUAAACUAAAAUGAUAAAUAAACUAAAAGGAUGACUAAAAUGAUAAAUAAAUAGUAUCAUGCAAAAUAAAGUCAAAUGCGAAUUAAAUAAAAACAACAUUCUGUCUUGAGCAUAGUGCAAUUUGCUGGUAACAGCGAGAAUAAAAACCAGCUAGAAAUUAAAUAACAGAUCAUUCAUGAAAAAGUGAUUACUUGUUUAAGAUACUCUCUUCAUCAAGAUUAACUUCUGAAGAAAAUUUUUCAAGUACUGAUCUUAUGGCAUUCUCAUACCAGAAUUCAAGCUAAUCAAGCGCUUCGCUAGCUCACCAAUUUUCUGGUACACCAAAAAUGUAAGCAUCAUCUUUCAAAGUAACACUUAAAACACCUACUAUACGUAACAAACACCCAGUGACUUGAACGCUGAGAAGCACUUUUAAGUGAACAUCCUGGUGCUUCUUUUACUAAUUUUUCUCCUUUUUCAUACAAAUUUGACAAGACAUUAUUUCAAUGGACCAAUGUCCUGAGAGCAGAAAACAGAAAAUGUAAACAAAUCUAUUAGAGCUGCUUACCAUAGGCCUAAAACAAGAUGAGGUUUUCUUUUUAAACUGAUAAUCAUAUUUGUUAUAAUUGAAAUUCAUUUUAUUGAAUUUUUCCCUUUUGGAUGAAACUUUAUGAAAAGAGAAAGUGUGAAAUUCAUUUUAUUGAAAAUUUUUCAAAUUGUUAUUUUUAACUCAAGAACUAAAGCUCUAAAGUAAACUAUAAAGUGUCUGUGUAAAGUAUAUCUCUCUAUUACAUGGCAGAUGAAUCUCCUUUUAUAGGGUCAAAGAAAGAGAGAAAGGGAAAGAGGGAACCUUCUCUUCGACGCUUCGAGCAUCUUCCAAUCGGACGGUCUACGUUUGCUCUCCUCUCCAAGCCCUCAGAUCAACUUUAAUCUCUUCGCCUCACUGGUCAGCUCCGGUCACGUGCUCGAGCUUCGAGUCAAGAUCGCACCGUUGGAGCUCAUCUUCCUCUCGCUUCUCUCUCUCUCGAACCCUAUAGCUUUUGGAUGUUCUUCAAAAUGAGAUGCUCCACCCUAAACAAAUUCCCCAAGACAGCAGCUGCCACACACCGUUUCAUUAAGUUUAGCUGCAAGCAGCGGCCCAACGUAGAAAAUAGCUAGUCCAAGGGUGUUGCUCCCUCAACGCCCCAUGUGGUUCCUUCACCUCUCCGUAAUUUCAUUUAUUUCAAAAAUUUCUUCCAUCUCUUCGUUAUUUUUUUUAUUUUUUAUGAAAAGGAUAAUCAUAUUCCGUCUAAAAAAAACCAGUAAUCAAAUUAUAACCCAAACCAUGAUCAAAAUGUGAAUGAUUACCAAUGUGAAAUUAGCUGGUUUUCGUUUUCUAAAAAUCGGAGCUUCAACAGUUCAAAUCAUCAACCAGGACUACCAUAACCUUUCACCUUUAAAAAAUAACAAUCAGAACCAUAGUAUUUUAUGAAAAGGAGAAUGACAUUGGGACUUAACAAAGCAACUGAGUCAUCAAGUUAGAACACAAACCAGAUCAAAAUCAAAGCUUUUUUACCGAUAAUCUUUUUAUUCUCGUGUGGUAACAUAUGUCCUGUUUCUUGCCCUCUUCACCAACUUUGUUGACAGAAAAGCGUGAGUAAUAAUGACACUCACCACCCAUGAAACCAAUCACAUUUACUUUAUAUUUUAUCCAAAUAACAUAUGUAAAGUAUUGGAAAAAGAGCCCGAGUAGUCUUUUCUUGUUCAUUUUUCUUACAUCAAGGGUUAAGUAUUCCACAAAUAUAUAAAAACCAUGGUUAUUUCU